This is a long non-coding RNA of Micropterus dolomieu (smallmouth bass), 425 nucleotides long. RefSeq lists it as uncharacterized. The record is from RefSeq and is a predicted model, not a curated record. NCBI's taxonomy places the organism in Eukaryota, Metazoa, Chordata, Actinopteri, Centrarchiformes, Centrarchidae. The transcript has 3 exons.
CUCCAGAUCCACAUUCCUUAGAGGGGUCUCCUGUCAGUCUGCCCUUGGAGAGCAGGCUUCUGUUAUCACUGCAGCACAGAAUCGGGCAGCUGUCCUUCAUGUGGAGUUGGGAGGAGGGCUGCAGGAUUUAACCCUCUGGCCCUUAUCGUGCACAGUUUCUGCCCGUGGCCCUCAAUCACAGCAUGACCUGCAGCCCACUGUCUGCAGUAAGAAGUCGUUCCCUGACCUGCUGGUUAGGUUGUGGUUUCUGAGAGAGUUUUUCCCUCUGCAGUGAUCACAUGAAAGCAGCUCUCUCAGAAAUGAACGGUCAGGAGGUUCAGGUCGCUCAACAUCUGACUGAUGGACCUGGAGUCGACUGUGAAAGUUUGGAUCUGAUGUCUUUUCCCCCACCGGCUUCACUGCACCUCAGAGGUCCUAAACCCUCC